Molecule: signal recognition particle RNA, 314 nt
Filed under: Candidatus Methanofastidiosia archaeon
Lineage: Archaea; Methanobacteriati; Methanobacteriota; Candidatus Methanofastidiosia
Also listed under: 1 other name
Description: signal recognition particle sRNA
Rfam family: Archaeal signal recognition particle RNA
Source: RNAcentral
GCUACGACUAGGCCGGGAAGGUAGGCCGUUCCUGUUACCUGAAUGGUCUUUAUGCAGGGGCCGAAGCUCGAUGAGCGACGGCGGAAUUCUGCAACUGCGUACUGUCCCGACAAUGAACUCUCGUCCCUCUUGAUCUGCGGAAGAAGAGGUCCCUUUCGGAGGGAAGUGGAUCAAUCUUCUUUAUCUUGUGAACCCCGUCAGGUCCGGAAGGAAGCAGCGGUAGUAGGAACGUUGGAUGCUUGAGGGGUAGCGGGGAGGAGAAAGGCUGUACUGCAAGUACAGGAGGAAACCCCCAUCAUCGAGCAUGUCUUUUC